RNAcentral lists this ribosomal RNA (370 nucleotides) under uncultured bacterium. RNAcentral describes it as "bacterial SSU rRNA". It matches the Rfam family "Bacterial small subunit ribosomal RNA", at positions 527 to 896 of the family's 1533-position model. The record is from RNAcentral.
GGAGGGUGCGAGCGUUAAUCGGAAUUACUGGGCGUAAAGCGCGCGUAGGUGGCUUGAUAAGCCGGUUGUGAAAGCCCCGGGCUCAACCUGGGAAUGGCAUCCGGAACUGUCAGGCUAGAGUGCAGGAGAGGAAGGUAGAAUUCCCGGUGUAGCGGUGAAAUGCGCAGAGAUCGGGAGGAAUACCAGUGGCGAAGGCGGCCUUCUGGACUGACACUGACACUGAGGUGCGAGAGCGUGGGUAGCAAACAGGAUUAGAUACCCUGGUAGUCCACGCCGUAAACGAUGAGAACUAGACGUUGGCUGACAUAGUCGGCCAGUGUCGCAGCAAACGCGUUAAGUUCUCCGCCUGGGGAGUACGCCGGCAACGGUA